UGGGCGUGGGCGGGAAGGCCUACACAUGCAGUCGAGCGGUAACAGGUCCCUCGGGAUGCUGACGAGCGGCGGACGGGUGAGUAAUGCAUAGGAAUCUACCCGGUAGUGGGGGAUAACCUGGGGAAACCCAGGCUAAUACCGCAUACGUCCUACGGGAGAAAGGGGGCUUUGGCUCCCGCUAUCGGAUGAGCCUAUGCCGGAUUAGCUGGUUGGUGAGGUAACGGCUCACCAAGGCGACGAUCCGUAGCUGGUCUGAGAGGAUGAUCAGCCACAUCGGGACUGAGACACGGCCCGAACUCCUACGGGAGGCAGCAGUGGGGAAUAUUGGACAAUGGGGGCAACCCUGAUCCAGCCAUGCCGCGUGUGUGAAGAAGGCCCUCGGGUUGUAAAGCACUUUCAGCGAGGAAGAACGCCUGGUGGUUAAUACCCGCCAGGAAAGACAUCACUCGCAGAAGAAGCACCGGCUAACUCCGUGCCAGCAGCCGCGGUAAUACGGAGGGUGCAAGCGUUAAUCGGAAUUACUGGGCGUAAAGCGCGCGUAGGUGGCUUGAUAAGCCGGUUGUGAAAGCCCCGGGCUCAACCUGGGAACGGCAUCCGGAACUAUCAGGCUAGAGUGCAGGAGAGGAAGGUAGAAUUCCCGGUGUAGCGGUGAAAUGCGUAGAGAUCGGGAGGAAUACCAGUGGCGAAGGCGGCCUUCUGGACUGACACUGACACUGAGGUGCGAAAGCGUGGGUAGCAAACAGGAUUAGAUACCCUGGUAGUCCACGCCGUAAACGAUGUCGACCAGCCGUUGGGUGCCUAGCGCACUUUGUGGCGAAGUUAACGCGAUAAGUCGACCGCCUGGGGAGUACGGCCGCAAGGUUAAAACUCAAUGAAUUGACGGGGGCCCGCACAAGCGGUGGAGCAUGUGGUUUAAUUCGAUGCAACGCGAAGAACCUUACCUACCCUUGACAUCCUUGCCGAACGUGUGAGAAGAUCACUUGGUGCCUUCGGGAGCGCAGAGACAGGUGCUGCAUGGCUGUCGUCAGCUCGUGGUUGUGAAAUGUGGGUUAAGUUCCCGUAACCAGCGCCAACCCUUGUUCUUUAUUUGCCAGCCAGUAAUGGUGGGAACUUCUAGGAGACUGGCGGUGACAACCGGGAAGAAAGGUUGGGGACUGACGUUCAGUCCUUCAUGGUCCCUUUACGGGGUUAGUGCUACACACGGUCUCUACAUUGGGCCUGGUACAAAAGGCUCGCGACCUCGCGAGAAGCUCGCGAAUUCCUUGAAAGCGCGUGUUCCUAAUGUCGGCGAUACUUCGAUGACUG
RNAcentral lists this ribosomal RNA (1305 nucleotides) under Halomonas sp. HL71. Its description in RNAcentral is "bacterial SSU rRNA". It matches the Rfam family "Bacterial small subunit ribosomal RNA", at positions 30 to 1322 of the family's 1533-position model. Lineage: Bacteria; Pseudomonadati; Pseudomonadota; Gammaproteobacteria; Oceanospirillales; Halomonadaceae. The record is from RNAcentral.